UACGAAGGGGGCUAGCGUUGCUCGGAAUUACUGGGCGUAAAGGGCGCGUAGGCGGACAGUUUAGUCAGAGGUGAAAGCCCAGGGCUCAACCUUGGAAUUGCCUUUGAUACUGGCUGUCUUGAGUUCGGGAGAGGUGAGUGGAAUUCCGAGUGUAGAGGUGAAAUUCGUAGAUAUUCGGAAGAACACCAGUGGCGAAGGCGACUUACUGGACACAUAUUGACGCUGAGGUGCGAAAGCGUGGGGAGCAAACAGG
This 253-nucleotide ribosomal RNA is filed under the name uncultured bacterium. RNAcentral's name for it is "partial 16S ribosomal RNA". It matches the Rfam family "Bacterial small subunit ribosomal RNA", at positions 524 to 776 of the family's 1533-position model. The record is from RNAcentral.